Non-coding RNA from Myotis brandtii (Brandt's bat), 75 nucleotides. The record is from Rfam. Lineage: Eukaryota; Metazoa; Chordata; Mammalia; Chiroptera; Vespertilionidae.
UGCGGUUCUCAGGUGACAGAUCCCAGAAUCGGGCUCCCUCCUCUCUAGUUCCAGGUGCAUCACCCAAGAACCACA